GGAAGGUCCGGGCGUUAUCCGGAUUUAUUGGGUUUAAAGGGAGCGUAGGCCGGAGAUUAAGCGUGUUGUGAAAUGUAGACGCUCAACGUCUGCACUGCAGCGCGAACUGGUUUCCUUGAGUACGCACAAAGUGGGCGGAAUUCGUGGUGUAGCGGUGAAAUGCUUAGAUAUCACGAAGAACUCCGAUUGCGAAGGCAGCUCACUGGAGCGCAACUGACGCUGAAGCUCGAAAGUGCGGGUAUCGAACAGGAUUAGAUACCCUGGUAGUCCGCACGGUAAACGAUGGAUGCCCGCUGUUGGUCUGAACAGGUCAGCGGCCAAGCGAAAGCAUUAAGCAUCCCACCUGGGGAGU
Molecule: ribosomal RNA, 352 nt
Filed under: uncultured bacterium
Lineage: Bacteria
Description: bacterial SSU rRNA
Rfam family: Bacterial small subunit ribosomal RNA
Source: RNAcentral